AGCGGUCCCUUCGGGGGCAGCGGCGGACGGGUGAGUAACGCGUGGGAACGUGCCCAGAGGUGGGGAACAACCGCUGGAAACGGCGGCUAAUACCCCAUACGCCCUACGGGGGAAAGAUUUAUCGCCUUUGGAUCGGCCCGCGUCUGAUUAGGUAGUUGGUGGGGUAACGGCCUACCAAGCCGACGAUCAGUACCUGGUUUGAGAGGAUGAUCAGGCACACUGGGACUGAGACACGGCCCAGACUCCUACGGGAGGCAGCAGUGGGGAAUCAUAGACAAUGGGGGAAACCCUGAUCUUGCCAUGCCGCGUGAGCGAAGAAGGCCUUAGGGUUGUAAAGCUCUUUCACCGGGGAAGAUAAUGACGGUACCCGGAGAAGAAGCCCCGGCUUAACUCCGUGCCAGCAGCCGCGGUAAUACGGAGGGGGCUAGCGUUGUUCGGAAUUACUGGGCGUAAAG
This 455-nucleotide ribosomal RNA is filed under the name uncultured Rhodobacter sp. RNAcentral's name for it is "bacterial SSU rRNA". It matches the Rfam family "Bacterial small subunit ribosomal RNA", at positions 65 to 565 of the family's 1533-position model. The record is from RNAcentral. Lineage: Bacteria; Pseudomonadati; Pseudomonadota; Alphaproteobacteria; Rhodobacterales.